UGGGGAAUAUUGCACAAUGCGCGGAAGCCUGAUGCAGCAACGCCGCGUGCGGGAUGACGGCCUUCGGGUUGUAAACCGCUUUCGCCUGUGACGAAGCGUGAGUGACGGUAAUGGGUAAAGAAGCACCGGCUAACUACGUGCCAGCAGCCGCGGUGAUACGUAGGGUGCGAGCGUUGUCCGGAUUUAUUGGGCGUAAAGGGCUCGUAGGUGGUUGAUCGCGUCGGAAGUGUAAUCUUGGGGCUUAACCCUGAGCGUGCUUUCGAUACGGGUUGACUUGAGGAAGGUAGGGGAGAAUGGAAUUCCUGGUGGAGCGGUGGAAUGCGCAGAUAUCAGGAGGAACACCAGUGGCGAAGGCGGUUCUCUGGGCCUUUCCUGACGCUGAGGAGCGAAAGCGUGGGGAGCGAACA
Molecule: ribosomal RNA, 407 nt
Filed under: uncultured bacterium
Lineage: Bacteria
Description: partial 16S ribosomal RNA
Rfam family: Bacterial small subunit ribosomal RNA
Source: RNAcentral